RNAcentral lists this ribosomal RNA (253 nucleotides) under uncultured bacterium. RNAcentral describes it as "partial 16S ribosomal RNA". It matches the Rfam family "Bacterial small subunit ribosomal RNA", at positions 524 to 776 of the family's 1533-position model. The record is from RNAcentral.
UACAGAGGGUGCAAGCGUUAAUCGGAAUCACUGGGCGUAAAGCGUGCGUAGGCGGCUUAGCAAGUCGGGCGUGAAAUCCCCGGGCUCAACCUGGGAAUGGCACUCGAUACUACUAAGCUAGAGUCUGGUAGAGGGAAGUGGAAUUCCCGGUGUAGCGGUGAAAUGCGUAGAUAUCGGGAGGAACAUCAGUGGCGAAGGCGACUUCCUGGACCAACACUGACGCUGAGGCACGAAAGCGUGGGGAGCAAACAGG